UGCAGUCGAGCGCAGGAAGCAAGUUGAUCCCCUUCGGGGGUGACGCUUGUGGAAUGAGCGGCGGACGGGUGAGUAACACGUGGGCAACCUGCCUGUAAGACUGGGAUAACCCCGGGAAACCGGGGCUAAUACCGGAUAAUACUUUCUUUUGCAUAAAGGAAAGUUGAAAGGCGGCUUCGGCUGUCACUUACAGAUGGGCCCGCGGCGCAUUAGCUAGUUGGUGAGGUAACGGCUCACCAAGGCGACGAUGCGUAGCCGACCUGAGAGGGUGAUCGGCCACACUGGGACUGAGACACGGCCCAGACUCCUACGGGAGGCAGCAGUAGGGAAUCUUCCGCAAUGGACGAAAGUCUGACGGAGCAACGCCGCGUGAGUGAUGAAGGUUUUCGGAUCGUAAAACUCUGUUGUUAGGGAAGAACAAGUACGAUAGUAACUGAUCGUACCUUGACGGUACCUAACCAGAAAGCCACGGCUAACUACGUGCCAGCAGCCGCGGUAAUACGUAGGUGGCAAGCGUUGUCCGGAAUUAUUGGGCGUAAAGCGCUCGCAGGCGGUCCUUUAAGUCUGAUGUGAAAUCUCGCGGCUCAACCGCGAACGGUCAUUGGAAACUGGAGGACUUGAGUACAGAAGAGGAGAGUGGAAUUCCACGUGUAGCGGUGAAAUGCGUAGAGAUGUGGAGGAACACCAGUGGCGAAGGCGACUCUCUGGUCUGUAACUGACGCUGAGGAGCGAAAGCGUGGGGAGCGAACAGGAUUAGAUACCCUGGUAGUCCACGCCGUAAACGAUGAGUG
RNAcentral lists this ribosomal RNA (791 nucleotides) under Oceanobacillus sp. RNAcentral's name for it is "bacterial SSU rRNA". It matches the Rfam family "Bacterial small subunit ribosomal RNA", at positions 38 to 815 of the family's 1533-position model. The record is from RNAcentral. Lineage: Bacteria; Bacillati; Bacillota; Bacilli; Caryophanales; Bacillaceae.